UGGAGGUUAUUUGUACCAGCUCAUAGAUAGAUAUAUUUAAAUCUACUUUGAGUCGGUACGAAUCACUUCUACC
Molecule: non-coding RNA, 73 nt
Organism: Cordylochernes scorpioides
Lineage: Eukaryota; Metazoa; Arthropoda; Arachnida; Pseudoscorpiones; Chernetidae
Source: the annotation of a GenBank genome assembly